Molecule: long non-coding RNA, 2032 nt
Filed under: Canis lupus familiaris (dog)
Lineage: Eukaryota; Metazoa; Chordata; Mammalia; Carnivora; Canidae
Description: lncRNA (ENSCAFG00000056525.1)
Source: RNAcentral
UUUUUUUUUUUUUUUUUGAAGUUUCUUGAAUAAGUAAACACUUCAUGUCAGGAGAGAGAGACCAACACUAAAACUUUGAAAAGGAAAUUUUAAUAUAAAUAGUUGCUAAAUAGUAAGAGGUGGUUAACUACUAAAAGGGAUAAAACAAGGACUGUUAAAGGGAUCCAGAAGUCGCAGGUGAAAAAACCUACCAGCUACAGUGAAGGAACUGGGAGUUUAGGAGAGCCUUGAGACCUCUCCAAAGGGGACUUGGUUACCACAGAACGUGGAGCCUGGUGAAGAAACAUGCCGGAGGGCGUGGGCUGGAGAGGUCCUUCGCUGUUGGCCAGAAAGCACGAGCAGGUUGGAACUGGUCAAUGGCAAUGAUCCACCUGUGAGGGAAGUGUCUUCCCACCACCAUCUCCUCCCAUUGUUCCCCAGUGCCCUCUGACCAAGCCCAACAGGGAGCCAACAGGCAAAAGAGAUGUUUGGCAAAACCAAGUAAAGAAGGGUGGAUUGGGAACGGAGACUCCUAUCCUGGGGCCUUGCCACCUGAAUCCCUUUUGCCUGCUUUGUCUUCAAGUCUCUACUUAAAUGUCACUUCCUCUAAAAGGCAUUCCUUUACCCCCAAUCUAAAUCAUAAAUCAGUAGCUUCUCAAACCAUCUUACAAAGCUUUUCCUUUAUAGCAUCCGUGAUAAUUUUUAAUUAAAUACAGUUGACCCUUGAACAAUAACAGGUUAGGAACACCAACCCCGCUGCACAGUCGAAACUAUGUAUAAUCUGACUUUCCCAAAGCAACUAUUAAUAAGCCUACUGUUGAUUGGAAGACUUGCCAAUAAUAUAGUUGAUCAACACAUAAUUUUUAAGUAAUAAAUAUAUAUUGUAUUUUUAAAGUAGGCCCCACACCCACCAUGGAGCCCAAUGUGGGGCUUGAACUCCUAACCCUGAGAUAAAAGAUCUGAGCUGAAAGGAGUCAGGCACUUAACCUACUGAGCCAUCCAGGUGCCGCUACAUUCUAUUCUUACAACAAAGAAAGCUAGAGACCAUGAGAGACUCCUGACCCUGGGAAACGGAUGCGGAAGGGGAGGCGGGUGGGCGGGUGGGCGUGGGCGGGUGGGCGGGUGGGGUGACAGGGCCGGGCACUAAGGAGGGCAUGUGAUGGGGUGAGCACUGAGUGUUAUACUAUAUGUUGGCAAAUUGAAUUUAAAAAAAUUAUAAGAGAAAAUACAGUACUACACUGUAUUGAAAAAAACGUGCAUAUAAGUGGACCCACACUAUUUAACCACAUUCAAGGGCCAAUUGGUGUUUUCAUUUUUUCGAUUAUAUUUUUAAACUUGUGUCCUUCAAAAUAAACUUGUGUUCUUCAGUAAACGGAAAGCUGGCGUCCAUUUCCUCCAAUACCAUAUUAUGUCCGGGAACCCGCUAAAUAAUAGGUGCUUGCUCAGCACAUGUUUGUUGGAUUUAAUUGAUUGCUAUCUCGUACAAUCUGAUUGUGACCAAAUGGCUUUUCUACCAUGUGCUGCUGAUACUACGGGCUAGAACACUGGGCGGGAGGUGAGAAGAGCUAAAACUGAAAGACCAAGUCAGGGCCGAUUCUUUGUGCUAUGCCAAGUAACUUGGACGUUUUUUAAUCCUAAAGAUCCUAGGGAUCCAUUGAUCUAAUUUGUGUUUAGGUCAAGAUGUGUCCCAGGCUCCUGGCUUGAGCAAUCAGAUGGAUGGCGGAGUAGGGAAAGGAAAAGGCGCCCCUUUGUGAGGGCAAGUAAGACUAGAAGCUAGUUAGAGGGCAGAAGAGAGCCAGGGAGUUCCCGCCUUCAGCAUGUGCAGCUCAGAUCUGUGUGACAGAAAUAACUAGCCGGUAAGGAUACAGAAUUUAGGAGGGAGAUCCAGGCUGAAAUUAGGCCUCUGAGUCUUCAGCAUUUAGGUGACAGUUGGAAAUCCGUGGAAUGGAAAUCGCCCAGAGAGAUGCUAGAGGGAGAAAAACUCCUAGGUUCACCAGUGUUUUCAGGUGCAGAGGCAGAGAGGCUUGCAAAGGAGAAUGAGAAGGAGCUACCU